Molecule: long non-coding RNA, 496 nt
Filed under: Phoenix dactylifera (date palm)
Lineage: Eukaryota; Viridiplantae; Streptophyta; Magnoliopsida; Arecales; Arecaceae
Description: long non-coding RNA (PDAC_LNC022409)
Source: RNAcentral
AGUAGGGGCUUCUUCUUCUUGCUCCCUAACUUCUUGCCCAACUGUGACAUGCAUUUAUAAUACAUUUAGUCCUGUAUCAAGGGCUAUAAUCUACGUGCCAAUUAUAAUAUAGGGAACUUUAAUUGAUUCAACUCCCCCGUUCCCUAAAUCUUUUCUUUUCUUUCUUCUUUUUCUUUUUAAUUAAUUAACUCACUAUUUAUGUGUAUUAGGGACUCCCUUGCAUGAGUACAAGGUCCCUUUUAGCUUGAUCUAGGCUUAAUACUCUAUUAUAGCAUGAAAUCCCUUAUUUUCCACCCGGAUGAACAGUAACCCGGACCGACAGCCGGUUACUUCAUCCUGGGUUUGAUCCACUUUUCAAACUCCAGAUUUGAUGAAAUUUUUACCUAACAUUCUACACUCAUAGGAGAUUCCAAAGAGGUAACAUGCAUUGCUAUCGGAGGUCGUUUGACCCCCUAAAUAAUUCGCCGAAGUUGGAACUUCGACACAGUUUUUCCGU